UGAGCAAUCUGCCCUUCACUUCGGGAUAACUCCGGGAAACCGGUGCUAAUACCGAAUACGACCACUUCAGGCAUCUGAUGGUGGUGGAAAGUUCCGGCGGUGGAGGAUGAGCUCGCGGCCUAUCAGCUUGUUGGUGGGGUAAAGGCCCACUAAGGCAACGACGGGUAGCCGGCCUGAGAGGGUGACCGGCCACACUGGGACUGAGACACGGCCCAGACUCCUACGGGAG
RNAcentral lists this ribosomal RNA (229 nucleotides) under uncultured bacterium. Its description in RNAcentral is "partial 16S ribosomal RNA". It matches the Rfam family "Bacterial small subunit ribosomal RNA", at positions 118 to 347 of the family's 1533-position model. The record is from RNAcentral.